Molecule: ribosomal RNA, 254 nt
Filed under: Meyerozyma caribbica
Lineage: Eukaryota; Fungi; Ascomycota; Pichiomycetes; Serinales; Debaryomycetaceae
Description: partial 28S ribosomal RNA
Rfam family: Eukaryotic large subunit ribosomal RNA
Source: RNAcentral
GUUUGACCUCAAAUCAGGUAGGAAUACCCGCUGAACUUAAGCAUAUCAAUAAGCGGAGGAAAAGAAACCAACAGGGAUUGCCUUAGUAGCGGCGAGUGAAGCGGCAAAAGCUCAAAUUUGAAAUCUGGCACCUUCGGUGUCCGAGUUGUAAUUUGAAGAUUGUAACCUUGGGGUUGGCUCUUGUCUAUGUUUCUUGGAACAGGACGUCACAGAGGGUGAGAAUCCCGUGCGAUGAGAUGCCCAAUCCUAUGUAA